AGCUGCUUGCUGGGCUAUGCGUGUGCAGCCGCAGCGUGAGUCACAUCUUCUAUCACAUCUCCAUCUGUGUGCUUUGUGGCGCAGGAGGACCCCAAGGGCACUCCAGGAAGGCAGGAUUGUGCAGAGACGACGGCACCCAGUCCGAGCUGUGCCUUCUGUCGCAGGCUCCUUGAAUGGAAGCAAAAAGUGGAGAAAAAGGGCCACAGAAGGAUCAACUGUGGAAGAUUUUCAAUUGUCCUUCAUGAAAAGGCACCACACUCAGAUUCAACUCCCAAUUCUGAUACAGGACACAGUUUCUGUUCUGAUUCUGGCACUGAAAUGCAGAGUAACAAAUGUCAGGACUGUGGCACUAAGAUUCCUGCCUCCCAAAGAGCCUGCAGGAAAGAACCAACUAAAGAAUUUCAUUAUAGGUACAACACUCCAGGACAGAAUUACUCAAAUCAUAGCAAAAGAGGUGCCUUUGUCCAGCCCCAUUCUUUAGAUGAAAGUAAAAACUCUUCACCCUGUAAGUACAUCUCCUGCAUGACCCCAUCCAUAUCAACAACCUAAUGUCCCAGGUAUGGGACAUUCACAUGACACUGGCCACUGCUUCCAUCUGG
This 599-nucleotide small RNA is filed under the name Pongo abelii (Sumatran orangutan). RNAcentral's name for it is "retained intron". Lineage: Eukaryota; Metazoa; Chordata; Mammalia; Primates; Hominidae. The record is from RNAcentral.